AACGAACGCUGGCGGCAUGCCUAAUACAUGCAAGUCGAACGAUCACUUCGGUGGUAGUGGCGCACGGGUGCGUAACGCGUGGGAAUCUGCCCUUGGGUUCGGAAUAACAUCUGGAAACGGAUGCUAAUACCGGAUGAUGACGUAAGUCCAAAGAUUUAUCGCCCAGGGAUGAGCCCGCGUAGGAUUAGCUAGUUGGUGGGGUAAAGGCCUACCAAGGCGACGAUCCUUAGCUGGUCUGAGAGGAUGAUCAGCCACACUGGGACUGAGACACGGCCCAGACUCCUACGGGAGGCAGCAGUAGGGAAUAUUGGACAAUGGGGGCAACCCUGAUCCAGCAAUGCCGCGUGAGUGAUUAAGUCCUUAGGGUUGUAAAGCUCUUUUACCCGGGAUGAUAAUGACAGUACCGGGAGAAUAAGCCCCGGCUAACUCCGUGCCAGCAGCCGCCGUAA
This 449-nucleotide ribosomal RNA is filed under the name uncultured bacterium. RNAcentral describes it as "partial 16S ribosomal RNA". It matches the Rfam family "Bacterial small subunit ribosomal RNA", at positions 29 to 523 of the family's 1533-position model. The record is from RNAcentral.